This 427-nucleotide ribosomal RNA is filed under the name uncultured fungus. RNAcentral's name for it is "eukaryotic LSU rRNA". It matches the Rfam family "Eukaryotic large subunit ribosomal RNA", at positions 1 to 422 of the family's 3401-position model. The record is from RNAcentral. Lineage: Eukaryota; Fungi.
GACCUCAAAUCAGGCAAGAAUACCCGCUGAACUUAAGCAUAUCAAUAAGCGGAGGAAAAGAAACUAACAAGGAUUCCCCUAGUAACGGCGAGUGAAGAGGGAAGAGCUCAAAUUUUAAAUCUGCCUUGUUCGCAAGGUCGAGUUGUAAUUUGAAGAAGCGUUUUCUUGUGCCGCGGCCGGUAGAAGUCCCUUGGAACAGGGCAUCAUUGAGGGUGACAAUCCCGUCUGUGACCUGGUCGUGCGUCCAUAUAUGAUACGCUUUCAAAGAGUCGAGUUGUUUGGGAUUGCAGCUCCAAAUGGGUGGUAAACAUCACCUAAGGCUAAAUAUUGGCGAGAGACCGAUAGCGAACAAGUACCGUGAGGGAAAGAUGAAAAGAACUUUGAAAAGGGAGUUAAAAAGUACGUGAAAUUGUUGAAAGGGAAACGC